Molecule: ribosomal RNA, 194 nt
Filed under: uncultured bacterium
Lineage: Bacteria
Description: partial 16S ribosomal RNA
Rfam family: Bacterial small subunit ribosomal RNA
Source: RNAcentral
CCUACGGGAGGCAGCAGUGGGGAAUAUUGGACAAUGGGCGCAAGCCUGAUCCAGCAAUGCCGCGUGGGUGAAGACGGCCUGCGGGUUGUAAAGCCCUUUGGGCGGGGAGGAACGGCGUCGCGCGAACAGGGCGGCGCCCUGACGUUACCCGCGAAACAAGCACCGGCUAACUCCGUGCCAGCAGCCGCGGUAAU